UAUGCACUAUGAACCUGUUCAAGAGAUGCGAAUAGAGUUAUAACCACGUUCUAGCUGACGAGGAACCUAUAAACCAGGUUCAGUGUGUUUCUCACUCAAGUGUGUCUAUUAGCUCGAAGAAAAAUUGUUGCCUCAUCUCUGCCAGUGGAGAAAAUGAAAUUCUUUGCUUUGAUUUUGCUCUUCGGGUUGGUCAUUUUGACUAUCGCAUCGCAAAAAUUCAGAGGUCCUAGACUUCCACAAACAGGUGCCUGUUCUGACCAGGGCUCAUCUUCUGGGUCUAGUGGGAAGAAUAAGAAAGAACCAAAGAACCAUGGCUCUGGCGAAGAAAGUGGAGAUUCUAUUUCAAGUGAUGACCUUUCAAUAUCAGGAGAAACGGGGAAUACUGCGCGCCAUCAGUGGCUGAAAGAGGAGUGGAACAAGAAUUUCGAAAUUUAAGCACUCCGAACGAGAACUCACGUGGGAAAAAGAUUAAAGACGAAAAAAGCAUUCGGCGAUACUCUGUACAACACUUAUUCUUUAUCAAAAAUCC
Non-coding RNA from Dermacentor albipictus, 529 nucleotides. The record is from RefSeq and is a predicted model, not a curated record. NCBI's taxonomy places the organism in Eukaryota, Metazoa, Arthropoda, Arachnida, Ixodida, Ixodidae.